GGACACCUAGAGGCGCCGUAGAAGUAUUGGGAGGGAACGAGGGAAGCUAGUGGAAUCCUUUCAUUGAAAAAACCCAUCUUUUCGAAUCGAUUUCUCUAUAGAAUUAUAUCAUCUUAGUCUUCUGGUUUGAUGGGUUCUUAGUUACAUAUACUGUGUUUGAAGCUUUACUUGUCUUUCUAUUAAGUAGUACUACAUGGAUAUCGAGCAGAAGCAAGCGGAGCUUAUAGAGCACUUCGUCAAACAAGCAGAGAAUCACAAAGGGGCUUCUCUUGCGAAUGUAAUAGUUGAAGCAACCUCGCAUUCAUCUCUCUUCGCUUUUUCUGAGAUUCUAGCUGUUCCUCAUGUUGUCGAGCUUCAAGGCACUGAGUACUCUGUCUUUCUUGAUAUGCUUCGUCUGUUUGCCCAUGGCACAUGGAGUGAUUACAAGAGUAAUGCCUGCCGUCUCCCACCUCUAGUACCUGAUCAAGUCCUCAAGCUAAAGCAACUUAGUGUGCUUACUUUUGCUGAAACAAACAAGGUACUCUCCUAUGAUCAAUUAAUGCAGGAGCUGGAUGUUACAAAUGUACGUGAACUUGAAGACUUCCUUAUCAAUGAAUGCAUGUAUGCGGGCAUAGUUAGAGGAAAGCUGGAUCAGUUGAGAAGAUGCUUUGAGGUACAAUUUGCUGCUGGGAGGGAUCUGAGACCUGGACAGCUCGGGAGUAUGAUACAAACAUUAACAAGCUGGUUGACUACUUCAGACAAUCUCCUUCUCUCAAUUCAGGAGAAGAUAAAAUGGGCAGAUUUGAUGAGUGAGUUGGACAAGAAGCACCGGAAGGAAGUUGAAGACAAGGUUGAUGAAGUGAAGAAAUCUCUCUCUGUCAAGAAGUUACACACUGUAAGCAGGCAGACAUGGAGUUCCGGGGGCACGAGGAGAUGAUCUACUCUGAACCUGGUGGAGUAGUGAUGGAUUAUGAGGAAGAUCGUAGCCGUCCCAAGAGGAGACGGCCACCCAUAUCUUGAGCUUGAGGGAAUAAAAGGUGGGUCCCAUUGGACAGUUUUUUUUUUCCCCAGAGGUUUGCCAGAUUUUGGUGAUGGCAUUGCGGGAUCAUGUAGUCUCUGCUGUUGGAAGUAUUAUGGCCUUUUAAUUAACUUGCAGUAAAUCUGUGCAAACUCAGUGUAUUCACUGUAUUGACAAUAGAUGACAAUAUAUAUAUUUUUUAUUGGUUAAAUUUGAUUAUUGUGAGUCUUGGGAAAAUCAUAUACAUAGUUCAAAGCAUUCAAGAUUUGUAAUUUCAUUUAUUCUCUGCUUUUUUGAGGACUUGAGAAUGGGGCUCUUUCUGAUGUGGCCUACAAGCAUUGGAGUCCAGAUGUGAAUGUUUUUAGGUUCUUUGGAGCC
This is an RNA transcript of Telopea speciosissima, 1375 nucleotides long. It is a transcript of the gene named COP9 signalosome complex subunit 7-like, with no coding region annotated. Lineage: Eukaryota; Viridiplantae; Streptophyta; Magnoliopsida; Proteales; Proteaceae. The record is from RefSeq and is a predicted model, not a curated record. The transcript has 9 exons.